GUCAUCGAUGUUCAUUUGUCUUCUGGGACUCGGUUUGACUAGCCGAAAAUUAGUUACUGUUUUCCGUUCAUUUGUCUGGUGGUUGAGUUCGUCAGUCAUUGAAACAGUUGAGUCCUAAUUUUUGUAGUCGUACUACAAAGGAUUUUUCUCGGAUGCGAGAACUUACUUUAGCAUUCUGCAUGAAAUACAUUAUAGAUUCGUCCGCUGCAAGAUUAUGGUGCCCGAGUGUGGCCGAGAGGAAAGGGAACUCGAUCGGUGCGGUGCCGGAGCUCCUCGCGUGGGGCACAGGUGCCGAUGUGAGGGCUGUGUGCCGGGGGUGGCAGGGUAGAGGCACACAGUGUGAUACUGGCUGCCAGAAACCCUGCUGUCACAGCUGUGCUGGUGUGGCACGACACAGCAGAAACUGCCAGUGACUGUGUCCACAUACUGGACAUAGAGACCACCGCUGUGAACCACCUUGUCCGUUACGUGUCUGUCGUACAACUAUUGGCAGCUGCAGACAAAUAUAACCCCCAUCUCCUAAAGGAGCCUCGUAAAGACAGGACUCUCUGGAUGCGUGGAGGAUGGAAGAUUGGUGAGACGGGGUGGCUAGCUGCCCACAGAUUGUGGCAGAGGUGUUAGUUAGUGGAAGCAAAAAUCAGGCUUACGAGAACUUACUCAAACAAUGAAAAAUCCACGAUGGAAUGUAACAGUAUUACAAAAAGGAAAGUUGUUACUCACCAUAUAGCAGAGAUGCUGAGUCGCAGAGAGGAACAACAAAAAAAGAAAACUGUCACAAAGCUUUCGGCCAGUAAGGCCUUUGUCAAAAAACACACACACACACACACACACACAC
This is a long non-coding RNA of Schistocerca cancellata (South American locust), 835 nucleotides long. RefSeq lists it as uncharacterized. The record is from RefSeq and is a predicted model, not a curated record. NCBI's taxonomy places the organism in Eukaryota, Metazoa, Arthropoda, Insecta, Orthoptera, Acrididae. The transcript has 4 exons.